Molecule: long non-coding RNA, 207 nt
Filed under: Bos taurus (domestic cattle)
Lineage: Eukaryota; Metazoa; Chordata; Mammalia; Artiodactyla; Bovidae
Description: long non-coding RNA NONBTAT025446
Source: RNAcentral
UCCCAUUUUGAGUUCACUAAAGUUAGGGCAUUCUCAAUCAUUCACUCUUAGUAACUAUUGAUAGUGUUUUACAUUUACUUGAUUUUUUUAUCUGCAGAGUAACUGAGAUGUGUGUAUAAGGCUGUGUCAAAGAGAAAAAGAGUGACUUUUUAAAUGAGAUAACAGAAAUAAAACCAGAAGGAAAUGACUAUGGUAAUGAACUUGAAU